CUCUGGAGUCCAGACAUCUGAGAUCAAGGUGGCCGGCCCGGUGGCACAGCAGUUAAGUGUGCACGUUCUGCUUUGGUGGCCCAGGGUUCCCCAGUUCAGAUCCCGGAUGUGGACAUGUCAUCACUCACCAAGCCACACUGUGGGAUGGAUUUCAAGUUUGGCAAACAUCUGACUGACACUUACUAAGAAGAUCAUGUUUGUUUUCAUUUGACAUAUUAAUAUUGUAUAUUACAAUAAUAGACUUUCUAUUAUUGUCGUCCUUUUAUGUCUGUAAUAAAAUUCCCAUGAUCCUAAUGAGUUAUUCUGUUCAUAUACCGCUGUCUUCCAUAUUUUAAUUUUAAAAUGUUGCAUUUAAAAUUAAUAUUUAUUUGUGACACUAAUCUAUACUUAUGUAUGGUAUAUUUGUCACAUAUUGCAUCAGCGUUUACGUGGCUUCAGAAGAAAAGCAUGAAAGUUUUCUUUUUUCUCUGUGACAUGAAACAGUGUCAGAUUACUUAUUAUUUGAAACCAUGAAGAAAUUUUUGUAUUAAACCACUUAUUUUGAAAUUUUGUUCAUAUGCUCCAGUGGUCAAUUGUAGCGUUUUUGUUUUCAUAGAAAAAAUUCAGCUUAAAAAAUUUAUGUAGAGCUUUAAAAUAGUUCUAUUAUGAUUCUUCUAAUUUCCUCAAGAUCUAUGGUUAGUGUCCUGUUUAUUACUAAUAAUUUAGUUAUUUUUUGUUUUUCCCUUUAUUCCUAAUUAGUCCUUUUCAUGAUUCAUUAUAUUCUUCUUUCCAAAAAACUGCCCCAUUUUUAAUGCUCUCUUUUCUGUUUCUUUCUUUCUUUCUUUUUUGGCUGAGGGAGAUUUGCCCUGAGCUAACGUCUGUGCCAAUAUCCCUCUAUUUUAUAUGUCAGUCACCACCACAGCAUGGCCACUGACAAGUGGUAUGGAUCUGCACCCAGGAACCAAACCCAGCAGCCAAAGCAGAGUGUGCCAAACUUAACCGCUAGGGCACAGGCCAGCCCCUCUUUUCUGUUUCUUGAUUAAUACAUUUAAAAUUUUUUCUUUAUUAGGUUCUUCCUUCUUUCUAUGGGAUAUAUUUUUGUUCUGUAGGGAAUUUUUAAGGCUAUUUGCUUGAUUCAGACCCUUAAUUGAUUCAUUUUAAUUUGUCUGGUUCAGUUAUAAAUUUACUUCUGUGUCAUAGCAUUAGCUAUAUCAUAUAUGAUAUGAUAUACAUCAUUAAUUUCUAGCAGUUUUGCAAUUUGAGUUUUGAUUUCUUUUUUUAACCUAGGCAUUGUUUGAAAUGUAUUUUACCAGAGUUUUUUGCUUACAUUUUUGUUAUUAAUUUAAAGAAUUU
This 1332-nucleotide long non-coding RNA is filed under the name Equus caballus (horse). RNAcentral describes it as "lncRNA (ENSECAG00000058648.1)". Lineage: Eukaryota; Metazoa; Chordata; Mammalia; Perissodactyla; Equidae. The record is from RNAcentral.